UACGUAGGGUGCAAGCGUUGUCCGGAUUUAUUGGGCGUAAAGAGCUCGUAGGCGGCUUGUUGCGUCGACUGUGAAAACCCGCGGCUUAACUGCGGGCUUGCAGUUGAUACGGGCAGGCUAGAGUUCGGUAGGGGAGACUGGAAUUCCUGGUGUAGCGGUGAAAUGCGCAGAUAUCAGGAGGAACACCGGUGGCGAAGGCGGGUCUCUGGGCCGAUACUGACGCUGAGGCUCGAAAGCGUGGGGAGCAAACAGG
Molecule: ribosomal RNA, 253 nt
Filed under: uncultured bacterium
Lineage: Bacteria
Description: partial 16S ribosomal RNA
Rfam family: Bacterial small subunit ribosomal RNA
Source: RNAcentral